This 669-nucleotide ribosomal RNA is filed under the name uncultured Pseudomonadota bacterium. RNAcentral describes it as "bacterial SSU rRNA". It matches the Rfam family "Bacterial small subunit ribosomal RNA", at positions 63 to 721 of the family's 1533-position model. The record is from RNAcentral. Lineage: Bacteria; Pseudomonadati; Pseudomonadota.
CGAACGGUAACAGGAAGCAGCUUGCUGCUUCGCUGACGAGUGGCGGACGGGUGAGUAAUGUCUGGGAAACUGCCUGAUGGAGGGGGAUAACUACUGGAAACGGUAGCUAAUACCGCAUAACGUCGCAAGACCAAAGAGGGGGACCUUCGGGCCUCUUGCCAUCGGAUGUGCCCAGAUGGGAUUAGCUAGUAGGUGGGGUAACGGCUCACCUAGGCGACGAUCCCUAGCUGGUCUGAGAGGAUGACCAGCCACACUGGAACUGAGACACGGUCCAGACUCCUACGGGAGGCAGCAGUGGGGAAUAUUGCACAAUGGGCGCAAGCCUGAUGCAGCCAUGCCGCGUGUAUGAAGAAGGCCUUCGGGUUGUAAAGUACUUUCAGCGGGGAGGAAGGGAGUAAAGUUAAUACCUUUGCUCAUUGACGUUACCCGCAGAAGAAGCACCGGCUAACUCCGUGCCAGCAGCCGCGGUAAUACGGAGGGUGCAAGCGUUAAUCGGAAUUACUGGGCGUAAAGCGCACGCAGGCGGUUUGUUAAGUCAGAUGUGAAAUCCCCGGGCUCAACCUGGGAACUGCAUCUGAUACUGGCAAGCUUGAGUCUCGUAGAGGGGGGUAGAAUUCCAGGUGUAGCGGUGAAAUGCGUAGAGAUCUGGAGGAAUACCGGUGGCGAAGG